This 2863-nucleotide ribosomal RNA is filed under the name Salmonella enterica subsp. enterica serovar Bovismorbificans. Its description in RNAcentral is "bacterial LSU rRNA". It matches the Rfam family "Bacterial large subunit ribosomal RNA". The record is from RNAcentral. Lineage: Bacteria; Pseudomonadati; Pseudomonadota; Gammaproteobacteria; Enterobacterales; Enterobacteriaceae.
UUAAGCGACUAAGCGUACACGGUGGAUGCCCUGGCAGUCAGAGGCGAUGAAGGGCGUGCUAAUCUGCGAUAAGCGCCGGUAAGGUGAUAUGAACCGUUAUAACCGGCGAUACCCGAAUGGGGAAACCCAGUGUGACUCGUCACACUAUCAUUAACUGAAUCCAUAGGUUAAUGAGGCGAACCGGGGGAACUGAAACAUCUAAGUACCCCGAGGAAAAGAAAUCAACCGAGAUUCCCCCAGUAGCGGCGAGCGAACGGGGAGGAGCCCAGAGCCUGAAUCAGCAUGUGUGUUAGUGGAAGCGUCUGGAAAGGCGCGCGAUACAGGGUGACAGCCCCGUACACAAAAGCGCAUGUGCUGUGAGCUCGAUGAGUAGGGCGGGACACGUGGUAUCCUGUCUGAAUAUGGGGGGACCAUCCUCCAAGGCUAAAUACUCCUGACUGACCGAUAGUGAACCAGUACCGUGAGGGAAAGGCGAAAAGAACCCCGGCGAGGGGAGUGAAAAAGAACCUGAAACCGUGUACGUACAAGCAGUGGGAGCACNGUGUGACUGCGUACCUUUUGUAUAAUGGGUCAGCGACUUAUAUUCUGUAGCAAGGUUAACCGAAUAGGGGAGCCGGAGGGAAACCGAGUCUUAAUUGGGCGUUAAGUUGCAGGGUAUAGACCCGAAACCCGGUGAUCUAGCCAUGGGCAGGUUGAAGGUUGGGUAACACUAACUGGAGGACCGAACCGACUAAUGUUGAAAAAUUAGCGGAUGACCUGUGGCUGGGGGUGAAAGGCCAAUCAAACCGGGAGAUAGCUGGUUCUCCCCGAAAGCUAUUUAGGUAGCGCCUCGUGAAUUCAUCUCCGGGGGUAGAGCACUGUUUCGGCUAGGGGGCCAUCCCGGCUUACCAACCCGAUGCAAACUGCGAAUACCGGAGAAUGUUAUCACGGGAGACACACGGCGGGUGCUAACGUCCGUCGUGAAGAGGGAAACAACCCAGACCGCCAGCUAAGGUCCCAAAGUCAUGGUUAAGUGGGAAACGAUGUGGGAAGGCCCAGACAGCCAGGAUGUUGGCUUAGAAGCAGCCAUCAUUUAAAGAAAGCGUAAUAGCUCACUGGUCGAGUCGGCCUGCGCGGAAGAUGUAACGGGGCUAAACCAUGCACCGAAGCUGCGGCAGCGACACUGUGUGUUGUUGGGUAGGGGAGCGUUCUGUAAGCCUGUGAAGGUGGCCUGUGAGGGUUGCUGGAGGUAUCAGAAGUGCGAAUGCUGACAUAAGUAACGAUAAAGCGGGUGAAAAGCCCGCUCGCCGGAAGACCAAGGGUUCCUGUCCAACGUUAAUCGGGGCAGGGUGAGUCGACCCCUAAGGCGAGGCCGAAAGGCGUAGUCGAUGGGAAACGGGUUAAUAUUCCCGUACUUGGUGUUACUGCGAAGGGGGGACGGAGAAGGCUAUGUUGGCCGGGCGACGGUUGUCCCGGUUUAAGCGUGUAGGNNNNNNNNNNNNNGACGAGGCACUACGGUGCUGAAGCAACAAAUGCCCUGCUUCCAGGAAAAGCCUCUAAGCAUCAGGUAACAUCAAAUCGUACCCCAAACCGACACAGGUGGUCAGGUAGAGAAUACCAAGGCGCUUGAGAGAACUCGGGUGAAGGAACUAGGCAAAAUGGUGCCGUAACUUCGGGAGAAGGCACGCUGACACGUAGGUGAAGUGAUUUACUCAUGGAGCUGAAGUCAGUCGAAGAUACCAGCUGGCUGCAACUGUUUAUUAAAAACACAGCACUGUGCAAACACGAAAGUGGACGUAUACGGUGUGACGCCUGCCCGGUGCCGGAAGGUUAAUUGAUGGGGUCAGCGCAAGCGAAGCUCCUGAUCGAAGCCCCGGUAAACGGCGGCCGUAACUAUAACGGUCCUAAGGUAGCGAAAUUCCUUGUCGGGUAAGUUCCGACCUGCACGAAUGGCGUAAUGAUGGCCAGGCUGUCUCCACCCGAGACUCAGUGAAAUUGAACUCGCUGUGAAGAUGCAGUGUACCCGCGGCAAGACGGAAAGACCCCGUGAACCUUUACUAUAGCUUGACACUGAACAUUGAGCCUUGAUGUGUAGGAUAGGUGGGAGGCUUUGAAGUGUGGACGCCAGUCUGCAUGGAGCCGNCCUUGAAAUACCACCCUUUAAUGUUUGAUGUUCUAACGUGGACCCGUUACCCGGGUUGCGGACAGUGUCUGGUGGGUAGUUUGACUGGGGCGGUCUCCUCCUAAAGAGUAACGGAGGAGCACGAAGGUUGGCUAAUCCUGGUCGGACAUCAGGAGGUUAGUGCAAUGGCAUAAGCCAGCUUGACUGCGAGCGUGACGGCGCGAGCAGGUGCGAAAGCAGGUCAUAGUGAUCCGGUGGUUCUGAAUGGAAGGGCCAUCGCUCAACGGAUAAAAGGUACUCCGGGGAUAACAGGCUGAUACCGCCCAAGAGUUCAUAUCGACGGCGGUGUUUGGCACCUCGAUGUCGGCUCAUCACAUCCUGGGGCUGAAGUAGGUCCCAAGGGUAUGGCUGUUCGCCAUUUAAAGUGGUACGCGAGCUGGGUUUAGAACGUCGUGAGACAGUUCGGUCCCUAUCUGCCGUGGGCGCUGGAGAACUGAGGGGGGCUGCUCCUAGUACGAGAGGACCGGAGUGGACGCAUCACUGGUGUUCGGGUUGUCAUGCCAAUGGCACUGCCCGGUAGCUAAAUGCGGAAGAGAUAAGUGCUGAAAGCAUCUAAGCACGAAACUUGCCCCGAGAUGAGUUCUCCCUGAGACUUUAGGUCUCCUGAAGGAACGUUGAAGACGACGACGUUGAUAGGCCGGGUGUGUAAGCGCAGCGAUGCGUUGAGCUAACCGGUACUAAUGAACCGUGAGGCUUAACCUU